CCUUCGAUAGCUCAGUUGGUAGAGCGGAGGACUGUAGGUGUUACGUAUUAGGUAUCCUUAGGUCGCUGGUUCGAAUCCGGCUCGAAGGA
RNAcentral lists this transfer RNA (89 nucleotides) under Fukomys damarensis (Damara mole-rat). It matches the Rfam family "tRNA". Rfam says of the family: Transfer RNA (tRNA) molecules are approximately 80 nucleotides in length. Their secondary structure includes four short double-helical elements and three loops (D, anti-codon, and T loops). The record is from Rfam by way of RNAcentral. Lineage: Eukaryota; Metazoa; Chordata; Mammalia; Rodentia; Bathyergidae.